AGGUGAAAAUAAUCAACUGUAUUUGAAAUUUUGUUUUCUAUAACUAUAAAUGAGUACAUACUUCACAAUUAACAGUUCUAUAAAUCUGAACCUCCUAUAUGUUUCUAAAUUGGGAACAAAACUGCCUCAUACCUCAAAAAGCAGAACUCUUAUUUCCAGGCUACAAGGUCAUAUCUCUAAGUGGCUGCUGAGAAACUAACAAGUUUCAACUAUAAACUUGUUGACAGCUUGACAGUAGGUGCAAUGAUACAGCCAAAGGUGCUGUCCUUCAGAUAACACACAAGCACUUUAGCUUUCUGUUGAAAAAUCACUUCAAAACUUCAAAUGCCAGCUUUAAAAAGCUAAGGAUUCCAUGAAAUCAAUAGUCUGGUCAUGUUCAAAGCUUUAAAUAUCUAACAAUAGGAAGUUAUAUUGCUUCUAAAAAUUGGUAAAAGCAAAUUAUAUUGGCUCACUGAACUCUAGAGAAAAAAAUUAUUUUUCUAAAUAAAACAUCUAUGAGAAGUUACCACAUAUAUAAAUUUUAAAAGAAUUUGCUUCCCAUAACGUGGUUCCUAUUUCCGUAUUCUGUAUUGUGUCACUUUUCUUUAACAACAUGAUCAAGGAAAACUAAAAGCACACAAAAAAGGAAAAUUAUGAAUUCAUAAAGAAAUUUUGUUCUAUAGUUAAUACAUACACCUCACCAUAGAGUAUACCCAUAGCUCAUCAGAGUUGUUUAUUCAAAAUUACAGAUGCCAUUUAUGGCAAAAAUAUGGAGAAAUUCCCACUUUU
This 768-nucleotide long non-coding RNA is filed under the name Bos taurus (domestic cattle). Its description in RNAcentral is "long non-coding RNA NONBTAT010782". Lineage: Eukaryota; Metazoa; Chordata; Mammalia; Artiodactyla; Bovidae. The record is from RNAcentral.